Molecule: ribosomal RNA, 398 nt
Filed under: uncultured bacterium
Lineage: Bacteria
Description: bacterial SSU rRNA
Rfam family: Bacterial small subunit ribosomal RNA
Source: RNAcentral
GACGAACGCUGGCGGCGUGCUUAACACAUGCAAGUCGAGCGGUAAGGCCCUUUCGGGGGUACACGAGCGGCGAACGGGUGAGUAACACGUGGGUGACCUGCCCUCAGCUCUGGGAUAAGCCUGGGAAACCGGGUCUAAUACUGGAUAUGACUCCAUGACGCAUGUUGUGGGGUGGAAAGCCUUGUGCGGCUGAGGAUGGGCCCGCGGCCUAUCAGCUUGUUGGUGGGGUGANGGCCUACCAAGGCGACGACGGGUAGCCGGCCUGAGAGGGCGACCGGCCACACUGGGACUGAGACACGGCCCAGACUCCUACGGGAGGCAGCAGUGGGGAAUCUUGCGCAAUGGGCGAAAGCCUGACGCAGCGACGCCGCGUGAGGGAUGGCGGCCUCGGUUGUAAC